Molecule: transfer RNA, 68 nt
Filed under: Ceratophrys cornuta (Surinam horned frog)
Lineage: Eukaryota; Metazoa; Chordata; Amphibia; Anura; Ceratophryidae
Description: tRNA-Trp
Rfam family: tRNA
About the family: Transfer RNA (tRNA) molecules are approximately 80 nucleotides in length.
Source: RNAcentral
AAACUUAGGAUAAUUUAGACCAAGAGCCUUCAAAGCCCUCAGUAGAAGUUAAAAUCUUCUAGUUUCUG